GAAAAUAAAACUACCACUGCCAGAAUGAACAACUUUAAAGAAUAUUGCACACUAAUCAACUGAGGAUAUUAUUUCUUCAUAUUCAUCAUACAUGAUUAAUAUUUUUGUGAUACUGUGUUUGUUACACUAACUUAGCUAAUAAUAUUGAUGCAAAAUGACAAUUAAGACACUGUGUCCAGUAAAAUUGUUAAGAUUCUUUUUCUUCAUAUUUGUCCAAAGAUGUAUUGGAGGGUGUUUGCUUCUUAAAAUCUAUUAAGUAAAUUAUUUUACUUUUUAUCAGGAACUAUCUGACUCUAAUGGUAUUGAUAAUCUAAUGGACAAAAGAUCCCUUGGUUAUGCAUAUAGGAGUCGAGAAGGAGAUGUCGAACGGACUCUAAAGACGGUCGAAACAGGAGUAGGUGGCAGGCAACCACACUGCUAAAGUGAGAAUUCUAAUCUAUAUCUCAAGUUUGUGGACUAAAUGCUGUUUGGUUCUCAAUGUAGGCAUAUUCAGAAAUAUUUUUGCCUUUUCAUUGAUCAAAGUAUGCUUUUUAUUCCGGAAUUAGAAGUCUGGACUAAACCCAAUAGUGAAAAAUAUCACCCAAUGUAUAGAUCUUCUCUAAACUAUUUUAAAGAAAAUUAGCUCUUCCCAUUUUCUUUGGUAACUAGAGUGGCCUUUUUGGUUAAAGAUAAACAGCUUCUACACAGUAUAUGAUGGUGCAUGCAUCUUUUUUUCCGAAUAUGACAUUGUGUACUAUUGUACUGUUGCACUUUCUAUAUGAUGCAUUAGCAAUUAUCUAAAUCUUGCAAGCCUUAAAAAGAUAGGCAAUCGUUCCUUCAUUAUUUUGCAGAAGUACCACUUGAAUCAUCA
This 850-nucleotide long non-coding RNA is filed under the name Trifolium pratense (red clover). RNAcentral describes it as "long non-coding RNA (TPRA_LNC004916)". Lineage: Eukaryota; Viridiplantae; Streptophyta; Magnoliopsida; Fabales; Fabaceae. The record is from RNAcentral.